This 649-nucleotide ribosomal RNA is filed under the name uncultured bacterium. RNAcentral describes it as "bacterial SSU rRNA". It matches the Rfam family "Bacterial small subunit ribosomal RNA", at positions 747 to 1395 of the family's 1533-position model. The record is from RNAcentral.
UCAGAUGCGAAAGCGUGGGUAGCAAACAGGAUUAGAUACCCUGGUAGUCCACGCCGUAAACGCUGUCUACUUGGAGGUUGAGGUUUUAGACUUUGGCUUUCGGCGCUAACGCAUUAAGUAGACCGCCUGGGGAGUACGGCCGCAAGGUUAAAACUCAAAUGAAUUGACGGGGGCCCGCACAAGCGGUGGAGCAUGUGGUUUAAUUCGAUGCAACGCGAAGAACCUUACCUACUCUUGACAUCCAGCGAAGCCUUUAGAGAUAGAGGUGUGCCUUCGGGAGCGCUGAGACAGGUGCUGCAUGGCUGUCGUCAGCUCGUGAUGUGAAAUGUUGGGUUAAGUCCCGCAACGAGCGCAACCCUUAUCCUUGUUUGCCAGCACAUAAUGGUGGGAACUCCAGGGAGACUGCCGGUGAUAAACCGGAGGAAGGUGGGGACGACGUCAAGUCAUCAUGGCCCUUACGAGUAGGGCUACACACGUGCUACAAUGGCAGAUACAGAGGGCAGCGAGACAGCGAUGUUUAGCGAAUCCCUUAAAGUUUGUCGUAGUCCGGAUUGGAGUCCGCAACUCGACUCCAUGAAGUCGGAAUCGCUAGUAAUCGUGGAUCAGAAUGCCACGGUGAAUACGUUCCCGGGCCUUGUACACUCCGCCC